RNAcentral lists this ribosomal RNA (1369 nucleotides) under uncultured bacterium. RNAcentral's name for it is "16S ribosomal RNA". It matches the Rfam family "Bacterial small subunit ribosomal RNA", at positions 28 to 1378 of the family's 1533-position model. The record is from RNAcentral.
GAUGAACGCUGGCGGCGUGCCUAAUACAUGCAAGUCGAGCGAACGGACGAGAAGCUUGCUUCUCUGAUGUUAGCGGCGGACGGGUGAGUAACACGUGGAUAACCUACCUAUAAGACUGGGAUAACUUCGGGAAACCGGAGCUAAUACCGGAUAAUAUUUUGAACCGCAUGGUUCAAAAGUGAAAGACGGUCUUGCUGUCACUUAUAGAUGGAUCCGCGCUGCAUUAGCUAGUUGGUAAGGUAACGGCUUACCAAGGCAACGAUGCAUAGCCGACCUGAGAGGGUGAUCGGCCACACUGGAACUGAGACACGGUCCAGACUCCUACGGGAGGCAGCAGUAGGGAAUCUUCCGCAAUGGGCGAAAGCCUGACGGAGCAACGCCGCGUGAGUGAUGAAGGUCUUCGGAUCGUAAAACUCUGUUAUUAGGGAAGAACAUAUGUGUAAGUAACUGUGCACAUCUUGACGGUACCUAAUCAGAAAGCCACGGCUAACUACGUGCCAGCAGCCGCGGUAAUACGCAGGUGGCAAGCGUUAUCCGGAAUUAUUGGGCGUAAAGCGCGCGUAGGCGGUUUUUUAAGUCUGAUGUGAAAGCCCACGGCUCAAUCGUGGAGGGUCAUUGGAAACUGGAAAACUUGAGUGCAGAAGAGGAAAGUGGAAUUCCAUGUGUAGCGGUGAAAUGCGCAGAGAUAUGGAGGAACACCAGUGGCGAAGGCGACUUUCUGGUCUGUAACUGACGCUGAUGUGCGAAAGCGUGGGGAUCAAACAGGAUUAGAUACCCUGGUAGUCCACGCCGUAAACGAUGAGUGCUAAGUGUUAGGGGGUUUCCGCCCCUUAGUGCUGCAGCUAACGCAUUAAGCACUCCGCCUGGGGAGUACGACCGCAAGGUUGAAACUCAAAGGAAUUGACGGGGACCCGCACAAGCGGUGGAGCAUGUGGUUUAAUUCGAAGCAACGCGAAGAACCUUACCAAAUCUUGACAUCCUUUGACAACUCUAGAGAUAGAGCCUUCCCCUUCGGGGGACAAAGUGACAGGUGGUGCAUGGUUGUCGUCAGCUCGUGUCGUGAGAUGUUGGGUUAAGUCCCGCAACGAGCGCAACCCUUAAGCUUAGUUGCCAUCAUUAAGUUGGGCACUCUAAGUUGACUGCCGGUGACAAACCGGAGGAAGGUGGGGAUGACGUCAAAUCAUCAUGCCCCUUAUGAUUUGGGCUACACACGUGCUACAAUGGACAAUACAAAGGGCAGCGAAACCGCGAGGUCAAGCAAAUCCCAUAAAGUUGUUCUCAGUUCGGAUUGUAGUCUGCAACUCGACUACAUGAAGCUGGAAUCGCUAGUAAUCGUAGAUCAGCAUGCUACGGUGAAUACGUUCCCGGG